AAUGAAGUGCCUGAUUAAAGGGCUAUUUUGAUAGAAUAGAUAAAGUAAAAGUUUACCUUCAUUA
RNAcentral lists this transfer RNA (64 nucleotides) under Phytomastax pentaspinula. Its description in RNAcentral is "tRNA-Ile". Lineage: Eukaryota; Metazoa; Arthropoda; Insecta; Orthoptera; Eumastacidae. The record is from RNAcentral.